RNAcentral lists this ribosomal RNA (468 nucleotides) under uncultured bacterium. Its description in RNAcentral is "partial 16S ribosomal RNA". It matches the Rfam family "Bacterial small subunit ribosomal RNA", at positions 28 to 507 of the family's 1533-position model. The record is from RNAcentral.
GACGAACGCUGGCGGCGUGCUUAACACAUGCAAGUCGAACGGAAAGGCCCUGCUUUUGUGAGGUGCUCGAGUGGCGAACGGGUGAGUAACACGUGAGUAACCUGCCCUUGACUUUGGGAUAACUUCAGGAAGCUGGGGCUAAUACCGGAUAGGAGCUCCUGCUGCAUGGUGGGGGUUGGAAAGUUUCGGCGGUUGGGGAUGGACUCGCGGCUUAUCAGCUUGUUGGUGGGGUAGUGGCUUACCAAGGCUUUGACGGGUAGCCGGCCUGAGAGGGUGACCGGCCACAUUGGGACUGAGAUACGGCCCAGACUCCUACGGGAGGCAGCAGUGGGGAAUAUUGCACAAUGGGCGGAAGCCUGAUGCAGCAACGCCGCGUGCGGGAUGACGGCCUUCGGGUUGUAAACCGCUUUCGCCUGUGACGAAGCGUGAGUGACGGUAAUGGGUAAAGAAGCACCGGCUAACUACGUG